Molecule: ribosomal RNA, 369 nt
Filed under: Triticum aestivum (bread wheat)
Lineage: Eukaryota; Viridiplantae; Streptophyta; Magnoliopsida; Poales; Poaceae
Description: partial small subunit ribosomal RNA
Source: RNAcentral
AUGCGUCCUCACCAACAACGUCCCUGGAACACCAAUCUACCACCGAUGUGGGCUACGGCAGGGGACCCUGUAUCCCCUAUGCUCUUUGUCAUGGUGAUUGACACCCUCAACAACCUCAUUUGUCGGGCGGCCAGCAAGGGGAUGCUGCAACGCCUCACUGCGCGUCACAUGUCCUCGAGUGUCUUCAUCUACGCCGGCGAUGUCGUCGUCUUCAGCCGACCUGAUAGGCAAGAACUGACUGCCGUCUGCGAGCUUCCACGGGUCUUCGGGGCCGCCUCGAGGCUGCACACCAAGUUCGCUAAGUGCACGGCAUCCCCUAUCCAGUGUGCGGCCGCGGACCGGGCCAUGAUCACCGAGAACUUCGCCUGA